This 1013-nucleotide small RNA is filed under the name uncultured fungus. Its description in RNAcentral is "eukaryotic LSU rRNA". The stretch from base 580 to 1013 matches the Rfam family "Eukaryotic large subunit ribosomal RNA", at positions 1 to 429 of the family's 3401-position model. The record is from RNAcentral. Lineage: Eukaryota; Fungi.
UCCGUAGGUGAACCUGCGGAAGGAUCAUUCACAAUAAGUGUUCAAUGGCACUUUAAAAUCCAUUACCCACCUUGUGUGCAAUGUAAGGAGGAGGGGGUUUGUCAUACUUUGUUUGGCUCCCCUCUUUCAUUAUACAUACCAAUCUUCUCUUGUUGUCUACUUUUUGAGUAUAAAAAACUCGAAUACAACUUUCAACAACGGAUCUCUUGGCUCUCGCAUCGAUGAAGAACGCAGCGAAAUGCGAUACGUAAUGUGAAUUGCAGAAUUCAGUGAAUCAUCGAAUCUUUGAACGCAUAUUGCGCCUUCUGGUAUUCCGGAGGGCAUGCUUGUUUGAGUAUCAGUAACAACCUCAACUCCUUCUUCAUUGCGGAGAAAGAGUUGGAUUUGAGCAUUUCCACAAGUUCGUCUUGGAGGAUUGCUUGAAAUAUGAGGUUCGGCCGGCAGUUGCCUGGGCUACAAGCAUUUCAUACUUAAUCCCGUCAAACGGAUUAUAUCCUUUGCUGCAGCCAACAUACAGGGUAACUUGCCAGUGUUCCGACUGAUGCAGGAAAGUUGAGAACUUUGCUUCUCUUCUAAACUCGAUCUCAAAUCAAGUAAGACUACCCGCUGAACUUAAGCAUAUCAAUAAGCGGAGGAAAAGAAACUAACAAGGAUUCCCCUAGUAACGGCGAGUGAAGCGGGAUGAGCUCAAAUUUGAAAUCUGGCUGGUUUGACCAGUCCGAGUUGUAGUUUAAAGAGGCGUUUUCGGUGGCAGGCUGGGUACAAAUCCUUUGGAACAGGGUAUCAUAGAGGGUGAGAAUCCCGUCUCUGACUCAGUGCAUGCUACUAUGUGAUACGUCUUCAAAGAGUCGAGUUGUUUGGGAAUGCAGCUCAAAAUGGGUGGUAAAUCUCAUCUAAGGCUAAAUACCGGCGAGAGACCGAUAGCGAACAAGUACCGUGAGGGAAAGAUGAAAAGAACUUUGAAAAGAGAGUUAAACAGUGCGUGAAAUUGUUGAAAGGGAAACGCUUGAAGU